AGUGAACCCUGGCGGUAGGCCUAACACAUGCCAGUCGAACGGCAGCACAGUAAGAGCUUGCUCUUACGGGUGGCGAGUGGCGGACGGGUGAGGAAUACAUCGGAAUCUACUUUUUCGUGGGGGAUAACGUAGGGAAACUUACGCUAAUACCGCAUACGACCUACGGGUGAAAGCAGGGGAUCUUCGGACCUUGCGCGAUUGAAUGAGCCGAUGUCGGAUUAGCUAGUUGGCGGGGUAAAGGCCCACCAAGGCGACGAUCCGUAGCUGGUCUGAGAGGAUGAUCAGCCACACUGGAACUGAGACACGGUCCAGACUCCUACGGGAGGCAGCAGUGGGGAAUAUUGGACAAUGGGCGCAAGCCUGAUCCAGCCAUACCGCGUGGGUGAAGAAGGCCUUCGGGUUGUAAAGCCCUUUUGUUGGGAAAGAAAAGCAGCAGGUUAAUACCCCGCUGUUCUGACGGUACCCAAAGAAUAAGCACCGGCUAACUUCGUG
This 492-nucleotide ribosomal RNA is filed under the name uncultured bacterium. RNAcentral describes it as "partial 16S ribosomal RNA". It matches the Rfam family "Bacterial small subunit ribosomal RNA", at positions 29 to 507 of the family's 1533-position model. The record is from RNAcentral.